ACCAGUGUCCAGCUGCGCUCAGGAUGCACGGGACCUUGUGAGAGUGCAAGUCCCUAGGGCAACAGCCCUCCAGGUGAUUCCCCAUGGGGCUUUGAGUGAAACAACUGCUUGGAAUUCCAACUGCUUGGGCUAGGUUACUGUAAUCCUGUGUCAGUCUCUGUGGGGAGAGCAGAGGCCGACCGACCAGACAGAUCACCACUGGGAACACUAAAACCCAAUCUCACAUAUCACAUCCUCCAUCAUGGGAGAAAAGCACAGAAAUGUCACAGUGUCAGAAGGUUCAGUCUGUGGAUCAGAGUGAUCCAAAUACUGACAUUGCUUUGGCUUGAAGACUGAGUAUCUGGGGCAGGUGGAUGCUACCACCUGGUGGCAAAUCAACUAGGGAGAGAGGCUGGCUACAAGCCCAACUGUGAGGAACAGACCAGGGUCUCCUUCCUCUGCUGGUGGCCACUCGAUGGGGACCAGGAGAACCUAAUCAUCACCAGGAAGAAAAGGAAUACAUGAAACAGGCCCAGGAGACAGACCUUCCCAUAUGGGUUUCACUAUCUGGCCACUGGAUAACUUCCAGCACACCUUUGUCCCAUUGAAGAGAGAUUCCUUCCACGAAGACAUCCCCACUCAACCCUGGGCAGGAAGCGGCCUGGAUGACUCAGCCUUGAUUCAGAGCUCAACAUCCAGUUGCCUCAUAUGGUCGGAAGGCUGAGCAAGCCAUGAGGAGCAAGCCAGCAAGCCAGCAAGAGUUCAUCUGCCGACUCUGCUUCAGUUCCUGCCCCGACUUCCCUUCAUGACGGACUGGAACUAGCAGCUGAAAUAAAGCUGUUGAACCCAGGCUGCUUUUGAUCGUGUUUAUCACAGCUGCAAAAGCUAAUUUCCUUUUAAAAUACCAUAUUUAUAAAGCAUGUCUGUUACAUA
Cricetulus griseus (Chinese hamster) is the source of this 912-nucleotide non-coding RNA. Lineage: Eukaryota; Metazoa; Chordata; Mammalia; Rodentia; Cricetidae. The record is from RefSeq and is a predicted model, not a curated record.